UUUUAAAAAUAAAAUAAUAGGCUUAACAUAAAAAAAAUAAAUUAAAAUUUAAUA
Molecule: transfer RNA, 54 nt
Filed under: Globodera rostochiensis
Lineage: Eukaryota; Metazoa; Nematoda; Chromadorea; Rhabditida; Heteroderidae
Description: tRNA-Leu
Source: RNAcentral